GUCGUCAGCUCGUGUCGUGAGAUGUUGGUUAAGUCCCGCAACGAGCGCAACCCUCGACCUUAGUUGCCAGCAUUCAGUUGGGCACUCUAAGGUGACUGCCGGCUAAAAGUCGGAGGAAGGUGGGGGAUGACGUCAAAUCAUCAUGCCCCUUAUGACCUGGGCUACACACGUGCUACAAUGGGCGGUACAAAGGGCCGCGAACCCGCGAGGGGGAGCCAACCCCAAAAAGCCGCUCUCAGUUCGGAUUGCAGGCUGCAACUCGCCUGCAUGAAGCCGGAAUCGCUAGUAAUCGCGGAUCAGCAUGCCGCGGUGAAUACGUUCCCGGGCCUU
RNAcentral lists this ribosomal RNA (330 nucleotides) under uncultured Anoxybacillus sp. Its description in RNAcentral is "bacterial SSU rRNA". It matches the Rfam family "Bacterial small subunit ribosomal RNA", at positions 1051 to 1382 of the family's 1533-position model. The record is from RNAcentral. Lineage: Bacteria; Bacillati; Bacillota; Bacilli; Caryophanales; Anoxybacillaceae.